GAGAGAGAGAGAUUGUUUAGCCUUAUAACGCUUCCCAGAAGCUAAAAUAACUCUGUCCAUGUUACUGCCACGGAGUGAUGUGCCUCUUCACGUGAUCCAUGGAAACAAUGCACAACUCUCCAGAGCCUGUGCACUCAUUUCAAAUGUUCACCUGGCUUACCAUAAAGACAUUCGGCCCCAUCAUAUGUAUGACUACAUACACCUCAACA
Molecule: long non-coding RNA, 209 nt
Organism: Sinocyclocheilus grahami
Lineage: Eukaryota; Metazoa; Chordata; Actinopteri; Cypriniformes; Cyprinidae
Exons: 3
Source: RefSeq, a predicted model, not a curated record